Molecule: ribosomal RNA, 482 nt
Filed under: uncultured bacterium
Lineage: Bacteria
Description: partial 16S ribosomal RNA
Rfam family: Bacterial small subunit ribosomal RNA
Source: RNAcentral
AUUGAACGCUGGCGGCAUGCUUUACACAUGCAAGUCGAACGGUAACAGCACUUCGGUGGCUGACGAGUGGCGAACGGGUGAGUAAUACAUCGGAACGUGCCUAGUAGUGGGGGAUAACUACUCGAAAGAGUAGCUAAUACCGCAUGAGAUCUAAGGAUGAAAGCAGGGGACCUUCGGGCCUUGCGCUACUAGAGCGGCUGAUGGCAGAUUAGGUAGUUGGUGGGAUAAAAGCUUACCAAGCCGACGAUCUGUAGCUGGUCUGAGAGGGCGACCAGCCACACUGGGACUGAGACACGGCCCAGACUCCUACGGGAGGCAGCAGUGGGGAAUUUUGGACAAUGGGCGCAAGCCUGAUCCAGCAAUGCCGCGUGCAGGAUGAAGGCCUUCGGGUUGUAAACUGCUUUUGUACGGAACGAAAAGCCCUCUUCUAAUACAGGAGGGUCAUGACGGUACCGUAAGAAUAAGCACCGGCUAACUACGUG